GGUGCCGUAGCCAAGUGGUAAGGCAAGGGUCUGCAAAACCCUUAUACGUGGGUUCGAUUCUCACCGGCACCUCCA
RNAcentral lists this transfer RNA (75 nucleotides) under Candidatus Peregrinibacteria bacterium. RNAcentral describes it as "tRNA-Cys". It matches the Rfam family "tRNA". Rfam says of the family: Transfer RNA (tRNA) molecules are approximately 80 nucleotides in length. Their secondary structure includes four short double-helical elements and three loops (D, anti-codon, and T loops). Further hydrogen bonds mediate the characteristic L-shaped molecular structure. tRNAs have two regions of fundamental functional importance: the anti-codon, which is responsible for specific mRNA codon recognition, and the 3' end, to which the tRNAs corresponding amino acid is attached (by aminoacyl-tRNA synthetases). tRNAs cope with the degeneracy of the genetic code in two manners: having more than one tRNA (with a specific anti-codon) for a particular amino acid; and 'wobble' base-pairing, i.e. permitting non-standard base-pairing at the 3rd anti-codon position. The record is from RNAcentral. RNAcentral also lists the same sequence under 1 other name. Lineage: Bacteria; Candidatus Peregrinibacteriota.